GACGAACGCUGGCGGCGUGCUUAACACAUGCAAGUCGAACGCUGAAGCUCAGCUUUUGUUGGGUGGAUGAGUGGCGAACGGGUGAGUAACACGUGAGUAACCUGCCCCCUUCUUUGGGAUAACGCCCGGAAACGGGUGCUAAUACUGGAUAUUCACUGGUCUUCGCAUGGGGGUUGGUGGAAAGGGUUUUUCUGGUGGGGGAUGGGCUCGCGGCCUAUCAGCUUGUUGGUGGGGUGAUGGCCUACCAAGGCUUUGACGGGUAGCCGGCCUGAGAGGGUGACCGGUAACAUGGGGACUGAGAUACGGCCCAGACUCCUGCGGGGGGCAGCAGUGGGGAAUAUUGCACAAUGGGCGCAAGCCUGAUGCAGCGACGCCGCGUGAGGGAUGGAGGCCCUCGGGUUGUGAACCUCUUUCGCUCAUGGUCAAGCCGCAACAAUGGUUGUGGUGAGGGUAGUGGGUAAAGAAGCGCCGGCUAACUACGUG
Molecule: ribosomal RNA, 483 nt
Filed under: uncultured bacterium
Lineage: Bacteria
Description: partial 16S ribosomal RNA
Rfam family: Bacterial small subunit ribosomal RNA
Source: RNAcentral